This 343-nucleotide RNase P RNA is filed under the name Candidatus Saccharibacteria bacterium HGW-Saccharibacteria-1. RNAcentral describes it as "RNase P RNA component class A". It matches the Rfam family "Bacterial RNase P class A". Rfam says of the family: Ribonuclease P (RNase P) is a ubiquitous endoribonuclease, found in archaea, bacteria and eukarya as well as chloroplasts and mitochondria. Lineage: Bacteria; Candidatus Saccharimonadota. The record is from RNAcentral.
GCAGUUCAUUAAAUGAUCGCCCCUUAUUCUUAAAGGAAUUUGGAGAGGAAAGUCCGGGCAACAUAGAGCAUGGCAGUCGCUAACGGCGACCGGGGGUAACUCUAGGGAAAGUGCCACAGAAACGAAACUACCUAUUUAUAUAGGAAAAGGUGAAACGAGUGAGGUAAGAGCUCACAGCAUACCAUGGCGACAUGGAUUGAAGGUAAACCCUGUCAGUUGCAAGGAGGUUUGUAUAAAAGGGCGGCUCGUCCGCAAGCCGAUAUCCGCUUGACCUGAUAGGCAACUACUAGGCUAGAUAGAUGAUCAUUCACGACAGAACCCGGCUUAUCGAUGGACUGCCAAA